GAAUGCUGACAUAAGUAACGAUAAAGCGGGUGAAAAGCCCGCUCGCCGGAAGACCAAGGGUUCCUGUCCAACGUUAAUCGGGGCAGGGUGAGUCGACCCCUAAGGCGAGGCCGAAAGGCGUAGUCGAUGGGAAACAGGUUAAUAUUCCUGUACUUGGUGUUACUGCGAAGGGGGGACGGAGAAGGCUAUGUUGGCCGGGCGACGGUUGUCCCGGUUUAAGCGUGUAGGCUGGUUUUCCAGGCAAAUCCGGAAAAUCAAGGCUGAGGCGUGAUGACGAGGCACUACGGUGCUGAAGCAACAAAUGCCCUGCUUCCAGGAAAAGCCUCUAAGCAUCAGGUAACAUCAAAUCGUACCCCAAACCGACACAGGUGGUCAGGUAGAGAAUACCAAGGCGCUUGAGAGAACUCGGGUGAAGGAACUAGGCAAAAUGGUGCCGUAACUUCGGGAGAAGGCACGCUGAUAUGUAGGUGAAGCGACUUGCUCGUGGAGCUGAAAUCAGUCGAAGAUACCAGCUGGCUGCAACUGUUUAUUAAAAACACAGCACUGUGCAAACACGAAAGUGGACGUAUACGGUGUGACGCCUGCCCGGUGCCGGAAGGUUAAUUGAUGGGGUUAGCGGUAACGCGAAGCUCUUGAUCGAAGCCCCGGUAAACGGCGGCCGUAACUAUAACGGUCCUAAGGUAGCGAAAUUCCUUGUCGGGUAAGUUCCGACCUGCACGAAUGGCGUAAUGAUGGCCAGGCUGUCUCCACCCGAGACUCAGUGAAAUUGAACUCGCUGUGAAGAUGCAGUGUACCCGCGGCAAGACGGAAAGACCCCGUGAACCUUUACUAUAGCUUGACACUGAACAUUGAGCCUUGAUGUGUAGGAUAGGUGGGAGGCUUUGAAGUGUGGACGCCAGUCUGCAUGGAGCCGACCUUGAAAUACCACCCUUUAAUGUUUGAUGUUCUAACGUUGGCCCCUGAUCGGGGUUGCGGACAGUGUCUGGUGGGUAGUUUGACUGGGGCGGUCUCCUCCUAAAGAGUAACGGAGGAGCACGAAGGUUGGCUAAUCCUGGUCGGACAUCAGGAGGUUAGUGCAAUGGCAUAAGCCAGCUUGACUGCGAGCGUGACGGCGCGAGCAGGUGCGAAAGCAGGUCAUAGUGAUCCGGUGGUUCUGAAUGGAAGGGCCAUCGCUCAACGGAUAAAAGGUACUCCGGGGAUAACAGGCUGAUACCGCCCAAGAGUUCAUAUCGACGGCGGUGUUUGGCACCUCGAUGUCGGCUCAUCACAUCCUGGGGCUGAAGUAGGUCCCAAGGGUAUGGCUGUUCGCCAUUUAAAGUGGUACGCGAGCUGGGUUUAGAACGUCGUGAGACAGUUCGGUCCCUAUCUGCCGUGGGCGCUGGAGAACUGAGGGGGGCUGCUCCUAGUACGAGAGGACCGGAGUGGACGCAUCACUGGUGUUCGGGUUGUCAUGCCAAUGGCACUGCCCGGUAGCUAAAUGCGGAAGAGAUAAGUGCUGAAAGCAUCUAAGCACGAAACUUGCCCCGAGAUGAGUUCUCCCUGACUCCUUGAGAG
Molecule: ribosomal RNA, 1554 nt
Filed under: Escherichia coli
Lineage: Bacteria; Pseudomonadati; Pseudomonadota; Gammaproteobacteria; Enterobacterales; Enterobacteriaceae
Description: partial 23S ribosomal RNA
Rfam family: Bacterial large subunit ribosomal RNA
Source: RNAcentral